GCGCCCGUAGCUUAAUGGUCAAAAGGCUAAGAAUGCUCAACGGAGGAUGUUUAUCGAUUUCUGCUUACUGAGAGUUGCAAGCCUGCCCUGGAUAUGUCAACUGUUGGAGGCGAAGAUCGGCAUUCUAGAUACCUUCGUAAGGCAAGGAGGCCGAAGAGUGCUGGGCUAUUACCCCGGAGGCGCGGGUUCGAUUCCCGUCGGGCGUA
RNAcentral lists this transfer RNA (206 nucleotides) under Bacteroidota Order II. bacterium. Its description in RNAcentral is "tRNA-Asn". It matches the Rfam family "tRNA". Rfam says of the family: Transfer RNA (tRNA) molecules are approximately 80 nucleotides in length. Their secondary structure includes four short double-helical elements and three loops (D, anti-codon, and T loops). Lineage: Bacteria; Pseudomonadati; Bacteroidota; unclassified Bacteroidota Order II. The record is from RNAcentral.